AUUUGACCCAAUUGCAUCCCCGUAUUGUGGUUGCUUUCUAGGGUUUGGUUAUGACUAUGAAUAAACACAUUCAUUCAUGUGUUGAUUUGUAGCUUGAAUAGCUUCAUCAAAAUCUUUGUGUAAAUGUUUUGUAGGUUUAGGAGGCAUUGAUGACCAAAAUGAAAGCACCAAUAAUGAUAGGGUUCUAUAGCUAUCGAAAUAUUAGAGCAAACUAGAAGACUAGGUUAGGAAAAUAAAGAAGACAAUAAAGUGUAAAUAAGGGAUUUUUAUAUCCUUCAAUGUCAAGCAUAUAUUACAACUUAAAUACUUGAAUCAUCCUUAAUAUAUCUGAAUAACAAAAGGUGUGAACAACAAAUGGGCCUGAACCCUUGGAGGAAAAUAACAUAACUAAUUAGGUGGUUGAUCUUCGCCCCCUGCAUUACUCACACUAGAAAAACUAUCGGAAAAUAUCUGCUAGUAAUAUUUACACUACCGGAAGAUAUUUUCAGGUAAAAUUUUCUCUAUAUGGGGGUGUUUACGCUGUUUUUUCGUAAACAAUCGCUAGUUUAAUUUAAUUACUUGCAGGACCAACUAGUAAAUCCUAGGACAUGUUUUGUGUAUAAAUUUUAAUGUUCAUCAUUGAAAUAAACAUUUGGUAAACCAGUUUGAAAGAACAAUUUACAAGGAAAAAUGUAAAUUAGACAAGAUUCCCUCGAACGAGAGAAUUUGAAAAGAUAAAUUGCAAAAGAAAUAUUAAAAUUGCAUAAAAAUGUAAAAGUUUUACAAAGAAAGUAAUAAUGAUUCACGAAUUCAUACAUGUUCUUCACUUCACCAUUUUCUCUCGAACGCAUGGAUACUUUAGGUUUGUGAAUUUUGUAUAUGAAUUGUGACCCUUAUUCCAACUAAAGGAACUACUAUUUAUAGGCACAAGAAUACACAACUGCUUGUGCAAACGUGCUUCGCCAGCUUUUCAA
RNAcentral lists this long non-coding RNA (953 nucleotides) under Trifolium pratense (red clover). RNAcentral's name for it is "long non-coding RNA (TPRA_LNC013962)". Lineage: Eukaryota; Viridiplantae; Streptophyta; Magnoliopsida; Fabales; Fabaceae. The record is from RNAcentral.